AUACGGAGGAUGCGAGCGUUAUCCGGAUUUAUUGGGUUUAAAGGGUGCGUAGGCGGUUAUGCAAGUCAGCGGUGAAACGCAAGGGCUCAACCCUUGACCUGCCGUUGAAACUGCGUGACUUGAAUGCGGAUGCUGUGGGAGGAAUGUGUGGUGUAGCGGUGAAAUGCAUAGAUAUCACACAGAACACCGAUUGCGAAGGCAUCUCACAAAUCCGUGAUUGACGCUGAGGCACGAAAGUGUGGGGAUCAAACAGGAUUAGAUACCCUGGUAGUCCACACUGUAAACGAUGAUGACUCGCUGUCGGCGAUAUACAGUCGGUGGCCAAGCGAAAGCGAUAAGUCAUCCACCUGGGGAGUACGACCGCAAGGUUGAAACUCAAAUGAAUUGACGGGG
Molecule: ribosomal RNA, 393 nt
Filed under: uncultured bacterium
Lineage: Bacteria
Description: partial 16S ribosomal RNA
Rfam family: Bacterial small subunit ribosomal RNA
Source: RNAcentral